CGAAAGCACCUAGUAGUUCUUACAAUUUCAUAACAAUAUCAGCAAUUUUCGUACAUGGAUGUACGAAAAAGGUGAUACUGAGCCUGGACGGCGAAUUAUCACCGAUUGCGUUAUGCCUUUUGGAAGAAAAUUGAAAUUGUUAGAACUUCUUUGUGCUGG
RNAcentral lists this non-coding RNA (159 nucleotides) under human gut metagenome. The record is from RNAcentral.